GUACUGAUACCUUGGGGUAAGAGAAUCCUAAAGAAUUAAAAAAUAACCAAGUUUUGUACUGUCUGUAUUACUGACAAAUCCUAUAUAGUUAGAACUUGCAAGUAACCAAGAAAAACUCAUUGCGAAGAUUGUCAUACUUGUUCAUAUAACUAGAAUAUGCAGUGGAAAUCAGAAAAUUAACAACGGCAAUUAAUGUCUCUGAAAUCAAACAAAAGGAUAUUAAGGAUGAUAAGUUACGGCAUAAGUAGGGUUAUGAUAGUCCUCAGAGUGCACUGUCUUUAAUGUUCGAAAUAAAGGAUGCUCCGGAGUAUCAUAUCUCCCAUCACACAAGUCAAGUCCUCCAACAAAUGCUACGAUUUUUCUUCGAUUGUUGCCGGCAUCAGCAUCUAUUAUCACAGUUUUCUGAUGAUGUGUAUAAAUUACUCCAACUUCCCUCUGCUUGACCCAACUGUGGCGCUUCCCUGCUACUCGAGGACAAAGCAGCACUUUCACGGAAGAAUGCUUGAAAAAAC
RNAcentral lists this unclassified non-coding RNA (512 nucleotides) under Hevea brasiliensis (rubber tree). The record is from RNAcentral. Lineage: Eukaryota; Viridiplantae; Streptophyta; Magnoliopsida; Malpighiales; Euphorbiaceae.